RNAcentral lists this ribosomal RNA (460 nucleotides) under uncultured bacterium. Its description in RNAcentral is "partial 16S ribosomal RNA". It matches the Rfam family "Bacterial small subunit ribosomal RNA", at positions 338 to 795 of the family's 1533-position model. The record is from RNAcentral.
CCUACGGGCGGCAGCAGUGAGGAAUUUUGGUCAAUGGACGAGAGUCUGAACGAGCCAAGUAGCGUGAAGGAUGACUGCCCUAUGGGUUGUAAACUUCUUUUAUAAAGGAAUAAAACGAGGCACGUGUGCCUUUUUGCAUGUACUUUAUGAAUUAGGAUCGGCUAACUCCGUGCCAGCAGCCGCGGUAAUACGGAGGAUCCGAGCGUUAUCCGGAUUUAUUGGGUUUAAAGGGAGCGUAGUUGGGUUGUUAAGUCAGGUGUGAAAGUUUGCGGCUCAACCGUAAAAUUGCAAUUGAUACUGGCAGUCUUGAGUGCAGUAGAGGUGGGCGGAAUUCGAGGUGUAGCGGUGAAAUGCUUAGAUAUCACGAAGAACCCCGAUUGCGAAGGCAGCUUACUGGACUGUAACUGACAUUGAUGCUCGAAAGUGUGGGUAUCAAACAGGAUUAGAUACCCGGGUAGUC